Populus trichocarpa (black cottonwood) is the source of this 1087-nucleotide RNA transcript. It is a transcript of the gene named nuclear transcription factor Y subunit B-1, with no coding region annotated. The record is from RefSeq and is a predicted model, not a curated record. NCBI's taxonomy places the organism in Eukaryota, Viridiplantae, Streptophyta, Magnoliopsida, Malpighiales, Salicaceae. The transcript has 5 exons.
AUCAAAGAAAAUCAAAAUAAAACUCGGCAAAUCACAAACUGCUAUCUCCUUCAUCUCUCCCCCUUCUUCUCUCUUCUCCAUCGUCAGAUCUAAAAAAAUUUCUCUCUUUCUGUUUCUCCCCCCCCUUCCAACUCUCGCGCCAAAUACAAAACCACUCCCCCCCCCCUCCCCCCUCUCUCUCCAGAUUUUUUUAGUAAGAUGGCCGAUAAUCCGACCAGUCCGGCGGCGGGGAGCCACGAGAGUGGUGGUGAGCAGAGCCCGCGGUCAGGGGUGAGAGAGCAGGAUAGAUACCUGCCUAUUGCUAAUAUAAGUAGGAUCAUGAAGAAGGCGUUGCCGGCUAAUGGAAAAAUUGCUAAGGAUGCUAAGGAUACUGUUCAGGAAUGUGUUUCUGAGUUCAUUAGCUUUGUUACCAGCGAGGCGAGUGAUAAGUGUCAGAAGGAGAAGAGGAAGACGAUCAAUGGGGAUGAUUUGUUGUGGGCAAUGGCAACGUUAGGAUUUGAGGAUUAUAUUGAGCCACUUAAGGUGUACCUGGCUAGGUACCGGGAGGUAAUUAGUUUGUUUUCUUGUCUAUGAUUUAUUUUGUUUACAUAUAGGUUGGUUUGUAAUCUAAUCAUCUGACUAUUCUCUUUCCUUCUCUUUCACCGAUUGGUUUUAUUGGAUCACUGCCAUGUCACAGUUGGAGGGUGAUGCAAAGGGGUCUGCUAGAGGUGGAGAUGGAUCUUCUAAACGGGAUGCAGUUGGAGGUCUGCCUGGUCAAAAUGCACAGGUGCAGGGACAGCAUAUGAUCCUUCCUUCCAUGCCAGGCAACGAGUAGGGUUUGGCUUUGCUUUGGUCAAUUCAGUGAAUUGUAAGUUGUAACGUUGGUAAAACUUUUUAGUUCCAACACUUGUAGAAUCUAAUCUCUCGCAUUAGUUGAUCUGAUUGGAACCAAAGUGCCCUAUAUAUUUUGGUGGCUUUGGUUUUUGGUUGUUUGUUGGGGGUGGUUUGAAUUUGGUUGGUGCCUUCAUCAUCAGUGCAGUUUUAAUAGUUAGAUUAAUUUCUGUAAAUUUGUUUUCUCAAAUAUAUAUUUUUCCGAGCAUUGCAAGUA